Molecule: long non-coding RNA, 461 nt
Organism: Alligator sinensis (Chinese alligator)
Lineage: Eukaryota; Metazoa; Chordata; Crocodylia; Alligatoridae
Exons: 3
Source: RefSeq, a predicted model, not a curated record
UGGCUCGUCCCCCAGUCACUCCACCCGCCUUCCGUGCUCCCUGUUAGGCAGGACGUCGACACGCAUUGCCGUUCCUAUGGAGACGUUUGGGGCGGGGCGUUGCGCCUCGCUCACUCUGAUUGGCUGCGAAGCCUCGGCCGGGACUCCUCGGAUUUGUCGGCCCGGCGGGCGAGGCUCCGCCCCCCAGGUGAGGUCCGGCGCGAUCACGUGAAGGCGGCGGGUGCCAGAAGACAGAAGCAGUAGGUGCGGAGCGUGGAGCCAUGAAGCACUAUGAGCGCUGCGUGGUAUUUGGCGGCCCCUGGACCAGCUGAAAUGGGACCCGCCAGCGGAAGCUGUUAGGGCAAGUAAGUGAGUCCUACCUGAAGGCAGUUGCACUGCGCUGGACAUGCAGCUCCCUGGUCCCCAGGGGCCCUGAGGCUGGUUACAUCCCAUGGUGGCAGUGCUAGGGUAGCAGGUCUGCC